UACGAGGGGUGCUAGCGUUAUUCGGAUUUACUGGGCGUAAAGGGUGUGUAGACGGUAUGUUAAGUCGGUUGUUAAAUACUUCGGCCUAACCGAAGAUCAGCGAUCGAAACUGGCAUGCUAGAGGAUGGAAGAGAGAAGUGGAAUUCUCGGAGUAGCGGUAAAAUGCGUAGAUCUCGAGAGGAACACCGAUGGCGAAGGCAGCUUCUUGGUCCAUUCCUGACGUUGAAACACGAAAGCGUGGGGAGCAAACAGGAUUAGAUACCCGCGUA
This 269-nucleotide ribosomal RNA is filed under the name uncultured prokaryote. RNAcentral describes it as "partial 16S ribosomal RNA". It matches the Rfam family "Bacterial small subunit ribosomal RNA", at positions 524 to 792 of the family's 1533-position model. The record is from RNAcentral.